RNAcentral lists this ribosomal RNA (253 nucleotides) under uncultured bacterium. RNAcentral describes it as "partial 16S ribosomal RNA". It matches the Rfam family "Bacterial small subunit ribosomal RNA", at positions 524 to 776 of the family's 1533-position model. The record is from RNAcentral.
UACGAAGGGGGCUAGCGUUGUUCGGAAUAACUGGGCGUAAAGCGCACGUAGGCGGAUUUGUAAGUCAGGGGUGAAAUCCCGGGGCUCAACCUCGGAACUGCCUUUGAUACUGCAAGGCUAGAGGACGGAAGAGGUGAGUGGAAUUCCUAGUGUAGAGGUGAAAUUCGUAGAUAUUCGGAAGAACACCAGUGGCGAAGGCGGCUCACUGGCGCAUUUCUGACGCUGAGGUGCGAAAGCGUGGGGAGCAAACAGG